RNAcentral lists this ribosomal RNA (460 nucleotides) under uncultured bacterium. RNAcentral describes it as "partial 16S ribosomal RNA". It matches the Rfam family "Bacterial small subunit ribosomal RNA", at positions 338 to 795 of the family's 1533-position model. The record is from RNAcentral.
CCUACGGGUGGCAGCAGUGAGGAAUAUUGGUCAAUGGACGAGAGUCUGAACCAGCCAAGUAGCGUGAAGGAUGACUGCCCUAUGGGUUGUAAACUUCUUUUAUAUGGGAAUAAAAUGUUCCACGUGUGGGAUUUUGUAUGUACCAUAUGAAUAAGGAUCGGCUAACUCCGUGCCAGCAGCCGCGGUAAUACGGAGGAUCCGAGCGUUAUCCGGAUUUAUUGGGUUUAAAGGGAGCGUAGGCGGAUUGUUAAGUCAGUUGUGAAAGUUUGCGGCUCAACCGUAAAAUUGCAGUUGAAACUGGCAGUCUUGAGUACAGUAGAGGUGGGCGGAAUUCGUGGUGUAGCGGUGAAAUGCUUAGAUAUCACGAAGAACUCCGAUUGCGAAGGCAGUUCACUGGACUGCAACUGACACUGAGGCUCGAAAGUGUGGGUAUCAAACAGGAUUAGAUACCCGAGUAGUC